Oncorhynchus tshawytscha (Chinook salmon) is the source of this 314-nucleotide long non-coding RNA. NCBI's taxonomy places the organism in Eukaryota, Metazoa, Chordata, Actinopteri, Salmoniformes, Salmonidae. The record is from Ensembl.
GGGCUAGAUAGGGGGCUAGAGGUGGGGCUAGAGCUGGGGCUAGAUAUGGGGCCAGAUGUGGGGCUAGAGAUGGGGCUAGAGUGGGGCUAGAGAUGGGGCUAGAGGUGGGGCUAGAGAUGGGGCUAGAAUUGUGGCUAGAGGUGGGGCUAGAGGUGGGGCUAGAGGUGAUACCCUCUUUUCUUCCCUCUCUCCCAUCUGCUCCCCUUCUGUCUACCUCUCUCUGUGUAGUUUGUCCCUCUCUUCUCUGACCUCUCUACCACAUCCAGCAGGGCUACUGGGACAAAACAGAGUAACCAUGGUCACCUAAUCCCCUC